RNAcentral lists this ribosomal RNA (422 nucleotides) under uncultured bacterium. Its description in RNAcentral is "bacterial SSU rRNA". It matches the Rfam family "Bacterial small subunit ribosomal RNA", at positions 355 to 774 of the family's 1533-position model. The record is from RNAcentral.
UAAGGAAUAUUGGUCAAUGGGCGAAAGCCUGAACCAGCCAUGCCGCGUGAAGGAUUAAGGUCCUCUGGAUUGUAAACUUCUUUUAUCUGGGACGAAAAAAGGCGAUUCUUCGUCACUUGACGGUACCAGAUGAAUAAGCACCGGCUAACUCCGUGCCAGCAGCCGCGGUAAUACGGAGGGUGCAAGCGUUAUCCGGAUUCACUGGGUUUAAAGGGUGCGUAGGCGGGCAGGUAAGUCAGUGGUGAAAUCCUAGAGCUUAACUCUAGAACUGCCAUUGAUACUAUCUGUCUUGAAUAUUGUGGAGGUAAGCGGAAUAUGUCAUGUAGCGGUGAAAUGCUUAGAUAUGACAUAGAACACCUAUUGCGAAGGCAGCUUACUACGCAUAUAUUGACGCUGAGGCACGAAAGCGUGGGGAUCAAACA